RNAcentral lists this ribosomal RNA (492 nucleotides) under uncultured bacterium. RNAcentral's name for it is "partial 16S ribosomal RNA". It matches the Rfam family "Bacterial small subunit ribosomal RNA", at positions 29 to 507 of the family's 1533-position model. The record is from RNAcentral.
AGUGAACGCUGGCGGUAGGCCUAACACAUGCAAGUCGAACGGCAGCACAGUAAGAGCUUGCUCUUACGGGUGGCGAGUGGCGGACGGGUGAGGAAUACAUCGGAAUCUACUUUUUCGUGGGGGAUAACGUAGGGAAACUUACGCUAAUACCGCAUACGACCUACGGGUGAAAGCAGGGGAUCUUCGGACCUUGCGCGAUUGAAUGAGCCGAUGUCGGAUUAGCUAGUUGGCGGGGUAAAGGCCCACCAAGGCGACGAUCCGUAGCUGGUCUGAGAGGAUGAUCGGCCACACUGGAACUGAGACACGGUCCAGACUCCUACGGGAGGCAGCAGUGGGGAAUAUUGGACAAUGGGCGCAAGCCUGAUCCAGCCAUACCGCGUGGGUGAAGAAGGCCUUCGGGUUGUAAAGCCCUUUUGUUGGGGAAGAAAAGCAGCAGGUUAAUACCCCGCUGUUCUGACGGUACCCAAAGAAUAAGCACCGGCUAACUUCGUG